Molecule: transfer RNA, 75 nt
Filed under: Streptomyces oceani
Lineage: Bacteria; Bacillati; Actinomycetota; Actinomycetes; Kitasatosporales; Streptomycetaceae
Also listed under: 1 other name
Description: tRNA-Val
Rfam family: tRNA
About the family: Transfer RNA (tRNA) molecules are approximately 80 nucleotides in length.
Source: RNAcentral
GGGCGCAUAGCUCAGCGGUAGAGCGCUGCCCUUACAAGGCAGAUGUCACUGGUUCGAUCCCAGUUGCGCCCACCA